Molecule: ribosomal RNA, 484 nt
Filed under: uncultured bacterium
Lineage: Bacteria
Description: partial 16S ribosomal RNA
Rfam family: Bacterial small subunit ribosomal RNA
Source: RNAcentral
AUUGAACGCUGGCGGCAGGCCUAACACAUGCAAGUCGAGCGGAUGAAGGGAGCUUGCUCCUGGAUUCAGCGGCGGACGGGUGAGUAAUGCCUAGGAAUCUGCCUGGUAGUGGGGGAUAACGUCCGGAAACGGGCGCUAAUACCGCAUACGUCCUGAGGGAGAAAGUGGGGGAUCUUCGGACCUCACGCUAUCAGAUGAGCCUAGGUCGGAUUAGCUAGUUGGUGGGGUAAAGGCCUACCAAGGCGACGAUCCGUAACUGGUCUGAGAGGAUGAUCAGUCACACUGGAACUGAGACACGGUCCAGACUACUACAGGAGGCAGCAGUGGGGAAUAUUGGACAAUGGGCGAAAGCCUGAUCCAGCCAUGCCGCGUGUGUGAAGAAGGUCUUCGGAUUGUAAAGCACUUUAAGUUGGGAGGAAGGGCAGUAAGUUAAUACCUUGCUGUUUUGACGUUACCAACAGAAUAAGCACCGGCUAACUUCGUG